RNAcentral lists this ribosomal RNA (468 nucleotides) under uncultured bacterium. RNAcentral's name for it is "partial 16S ribosomal RNA". It matches the Rfam family "Bacterial small subunit ribosomal RNA", at positions 28 to 507 of the family's 1533-position model. The record is from RNAcentral.
GACGAACGCUGGCGGCGUGCUUAACACAUGCAAGUCGAACGGAAAGGCCCUGCUUUUGCGGGGUGCUCGAGUGGCGAACGGGUGAGUAACACGUGAGUAACCUGCCCUUGAAUUUGGGAUAACUUCAGGAAACUGGGGCUAAUACCGGAUAGGAGCUCCUGCUGCAUGGUGGGGGUUGGUAAGUUUCGGCGGUUGGGGAUGGACUGGCGGCUUAUCAGCUUGUUGGUGGGGUAGUGGCUUACCAAGGCUUUGACGGGUAGCCGGCCUGAGAGGGUUACCGGCGACAUUGGGACUGAGAUACGGCCCAGACUCCUACGGGAGGCAGCAGUGGGGAAUAUUGCACAAUGGGCGGAAGCCUGAUGCAGCAACGCCGCGUGCGGGAUGACGGCCUUCGGGUGGUAAACCGCUUUCGCCUGUAACGAAGCGUUAGUGACGGUAAUGGGUAAAGAAGCACCGGCUAACUACGUG